This 448-nucleotide ribosomal RNA is filed under the name uncultured bacterium. RNAcentral's name for it is "bacterial SSU rRNA". It matches the Rfam family "Bacterial small subunit ribosomal RNA", at positions 64 to 507 of the family's 1533-position model. The record is from RNAcentral.
GAGCGGAUGAAGGGAGCUUGCUCCCGGAUUCAGCGGCGGACGGGUGAGUAAUGCCUAGGAAUCUGCCUGGUAGUGGGGGACAACGUUUCGAAAGGAACGCUAAUACCGCAUACGUCCUACGGGAGAAAGCAGGGGACCUUCGGGCCUUGCGCUAUCAGAUGAGCCUAGGUCGGAUUAGCUAGUUGGUGAGGUAAUGGCUCACCAAGGCGACGAUCCGUAACUGGUCUGAGAGGAUGAUCAGUCACACUGGAACUGAGACACGGUCCAGACUCCUACGGGAGGCAGCAGUGGGGAAUAUUGGACAAUGGGCGAAAGCCUGAUCCAGCCAUGCCGCGUGUGUGAAGAAGGUCUUCGGAUUGUAAAGCACUUUAAGUUGGGAGGAAGGGUUGUAGAUUAAUACUCUGCAAUUUUGACGUUACCGACAGAAUAAGCACCGGCUAACUCUGUG